Molecule: ribosomal RNA, 499 nt
Filed under: uncultured Glomus
Lineage: Eukaryota; Fungi; Glomeromycota; Glomeromycetes; Glomerales; Glomeraceae
Description: SSU rRNA
Rfam family: Eukaryotic small subunit ribosomal RNA
Source: RNAcentral
CGCAGCCGCGGUAAUUCCAGCUCCAAUAGCGUAUAUUAAAGUUGUUGCAGUUAAAAAGCUCGUAGUUGAAUUUCGGGACCAAUCUGCCGGUCGUGCCUCCGGUACGCACUGGUUUUAUUGGUCUCUCCCUUCUGACGAACCAUGAUGUCAUUAAUUUGGUGUCAUGGGGAAUCAGGACUGUUACUUUGAAAAAAUUAGAGUGUUUAUAGCAGGCUCACGCUUGAAUACAUUAGCAUGGAAUAAUGAAAUAGGACGUUUGACCCUAUUUUGUUGGUUUCUAGGAUCGACGUAAUGGUUAAUAGGGAUAGUUGGGGGCAUUAGUAUUCAAUUGUCAGAGGUGAAAUUCUUGGAUUUAUUGAAGACUAACUACUGCGAAAGCAUUUGCCAAGGAUGUUUUCAUUAAUCAAGAACGAAAGUUAGGGGAUCGAAGACGAUCAGAUACCGUCGUAGUCUUAACCAUAAACUAUGUCGACUAGGGAUCGGACGAUGUUAAUUUUUU